RNAcentral lists this ribosomal RNA (499 nucleotides) under uncultured bacterium. RNAcentral describes it as "partial 16S ribosomal RNA". It matches the Rfam family "Bacterial small subunit ribosomal RNA", at positions 28 to 507 of the family's 1533-position model. The record is from RNAcentral.
GACGAACGCUGGCGGCGUGCCUAAUACAUGCAAGUCGAGCGAAGAUUUUCUGUUUCUUGCACUAGUAAAACUUAGCGGCGAACGGGAGGGUAACACGUAAAGAACCUGCCUCAUAGCCUGGGACAACUAUUGGAAACGAAAGCUAAUACCGUAUAACAGUAUUUCUCACAUUAGAGACAUUUAAGAGUUACUUAUGCUAACACUAUGAGAUGGCUUUGCGGUGCAUUAGCUAGUUUGUGGGGUUAAGGCCCACCAAAGCGACGACGCAUAGCCGACCUGAGAGGGUGAGCGGCCACAGUGGGACUGGGACAGGGCUCAGACUCAGACUGCAGGCAGCAGUAGGGAAGGGUCAGAAAUGGGCGAAAGCCUGACGGAGCAGCGCCGCGGGAGUGAAGAAGGAGUUCGGCUCGGAAAGCUCAAUUGUUAGGGAAGAAGGGAUAGGUAGUAACUAGACAGGUAAGAGACGGUAGCUAACCAGAAAGCCACGGCUAACUACGUG